CAGCAGUGGGGAAUAUUGCACAAUGGGCGCAAGCCUGAUGCAGCCAUGCCGCGUGUAUGAAGAAGGCCUUCGGGUUGUAAAGUACUUUCAGCGGGGAGGAAGGGAGUGAGGUUAAUAACCUUAUUCAUUGACGUUACCCGCAGAAGAAGCACCGGCUAACUCCGUGCCAGCAGCCGCGGUAAUACGGAGGGUGCAAGCGUUAAUCGGAAUUACUGGGCGUAAAGCGCACGCAGGCGGUCUGUCAAGUCGGAUGUGAAAUCCCCGGGCUCAACCUGGGAACUGCAUUCGAAACUGGCAGGCUGGAGUCUUGUAGAGGGGGGUAGAAUUCCAGGUGUAGCGGUGAAAUGCGUAGAGAUCUGGAGGAAUACCGGUGGCGAAGGCGGCCCCCUGGACAAAGACUGACGCUCAGGUGCGAAAGCGUGGGGAGCAAACAGGAUUAGA
Molecule: ribosomal RNA, 441 nt
Filed under: uncultured Klebsiella sp.
Lineage: Bacteria; Pseudomonadati; Pseudomonadota; Gammaproteobacteria; Enterobacterales; Enterobacteriaceae
Description: bacterial SSU rRNA
Rfam family: Bacterial small subunit ribosomal RNA
Source: RNAcentral